Acanthopagrus latus (yellowfin seabream) is the source of this 629-nucleotide long non-coding RNA. RefSeq lists it as uncharacterized. The record is from RefSeq and is a predicted model, not a curated record. NCBI's taxonomy places the organism in Eukaryota, Metazoa, Chordata, Actinopteri, Spariformes, Sparidae. The transcript has 5 exons.
AGAGAUGGAGGAUUGAGCAUCUUUAGUUUUGCUGUUUCGGCACUAUGGCAGCAGAUGAGGCUACCCUUAAGGAGCUGAUCAGAAAGGCACAGAGCCUGGCAGAGCAUCUCAACUCACUAGUCGAGCCUGCACAGGUGAACAAAAGAAGAUCAAAACCACCAGUCCAGAUCUGAUGGAGAAAGCGGGAUAAAGAUGGCAGCAUUAUUGCCCAGACCAUCAAGUCCUCUUCAUCCAAAUCCCGUGGUGGAAGGCCCAGAUGACUUUACCUCAGUGUUCCUGAGGGGACAUCAGUGGAGAUGCCUGAUGAGGAAGAGGCAGGACUCAAAUAUUGCCAAUGGAAAUGCCACACCAGAUUUGUGACUCCCCCCCAGAGAAUGUGUCUGUCAUUGCUGGGAGGCCUGUGGUGUUCAUCAACAUGAAAGGACGAGAUGAUCUGACCCUCCCAGAGCUGUGAUGUGGUGGCUGCUGUGCCAGCUGGACCCCAGGGCUGUACCAUGUCCAAGUCAGUGGCUACUGGCCUGCCACCAUCCAUUUCCAUACCAUCUAUGAUGUAGCUAUGAUUCAAGCUUUACGGGAGAUGAAGUUGGCUGCUCCAGGGAUUUCCCACCUGACCUUUAUGAGAAUGCUGG